CAGGGCGAAGUUUUCUGUACAUCUCGCAUUGUGACCAUCUGUUGUUAACGCAUGGUUUCAAUGGGAUAUGUUGAUAAAGCUUCCGUCGAG
RNAcentral lists this microRNA precursor (90 nucleotides) under Capitella teleta. Its description in RNAcentral is "microRNA cte-mir-1995 precursor". Lineage: Eukaryota; Metazoa; Annelida; Polychaeta; Capitellidae. The record is from miRBase by way of RNAcentral.